This 468-nucleotide ribosomal RNA is filed under the name uncultured bacterium. Its description in RNAcentral is "partial 16S ribosomal RNA". It matches the Rfam family "Bacterial small subunit ribosomal RNA", at positions 28 to 507 of the family's 1533-position model. The record is from RNAcentral.
GACGAACGCUGGCGGCGUGCUUAACACAUGCAAGUCGAACGGAAAGGCCCUGCUUUUGUGGGGUGCUCGAGUGGCGAACGGGUGAGUAACACGUGAGUAACCUGCCCUUGACUUUGGGAUAACUUCAGGAAACUGGGGCUAAUACCGGAUAGGAGCUCCUGCUGCAUGGUGGGGGUUGGAAAGUUUCGGCGGUUGGGGAUGGACUUGCGGCUUAUCAGCUUGUUGGUGGGGUAGUGGCUUACCAAGGCUUUGACGGGUAGCCGGCCUGAGAGGGUGACCGGCCACAUUGGGACUGAGAUACGGCCCAGACUCCUACGGGAGGCAGCAGUGGGGAAUAUUGCACAAUGGGCGUAAGCCUGAUGCAGCAACGCCGCGUGCGGGAUGACGGCCUUCGGGUUGUAAACCGCUUUCGCCUGUGACGAAGCGUGAGUGACGGUAAUGGGUAAAGAAGCACCGGCUAACUACGUG